RNAcentral lists this unclassified non-coding RNA (604 nucleotides) under Hevea brasiliensis (rubber tree). Lineage: Eukaryota; Viridiplantae; Streptophyta; Magnoliopsida; Malpighiales; Euphorbiaceae. The record is from RNAcentral.
GUUCAAUCAGAGAAUGAUUCUCAUUAUCCUGAAGGUGAAAAGAUAAAGAUUUUAAAGCUGUUUCAACUACAUGAGAACCAGAUCUGUCAGCUGCAAUAUGAGAGAAAUUCUUUGCACAGCUCUGAAGGAAAGUACAAAGGUGAUCCAAAGAACAGCCUUCAAGUAGGGUUUGCAAAGUAUGGCUUAUUAUAUAAUCAGUUGCAAGUUCUGCUUCUUUCCCUCUGGUUUCUUCCAAGGCAUUUCCACAAAUGACAGAUCGCUCCUCUGGGUCAAUUUCAGUACCUUCUAUGGCAUUAGCAAUCUCUGCAAAGUAUUUUGCAGUCUCAGGAUCAAUCUGCUUUCUGAGAAAUGAUGUCUGUGGGACAGGGGUUGUCUUUUUGUCCUUGUGAGGUCUAUCAUUGUCAUCGGCAUUCCCUCCAGACACACUUUCAACAGUAUAGUCAGUGUUAACUCCAGCAUGCUUUUUCGAAGUCUUUCGGCCCAUUGUUCUUUUCCUUACCCCCUGAUUAUUCGUUUGGUUCUCCCAAGCAGUUGGUUGCUCCGUCAAAUCACAGCCUCUAUGCUUUCUUGAAACUAAAGCAUGCAGACAGGAACAGCAAUGAGG